GCACUUUUGCCAUGAGAAUGUCUCACUGACCUCUCAAGUCGCAAAUGCCUUCGGUCAGUAUGGGGAUGCCCAAUAUAUCCCGUCCACAAAAUUCUAGAAUCUCGUAGUGAGGCAACCAGCUACCUAAGUCAUCGCCUCUUUAUUUGUCAUGUGAUGUCACAAAGGUGGCUCACAGCUGAUCUGGCAAGGCAGCACUGGCCAAGUGUGGGGUAGGGGAUGGGCACAGGGCCCCCAGCUUCUCUCUUUUCCAAAAGUAUAUGCAAACAUCUGGUUUGAGUUCCCAGGAAGGGCUCCUGUCUGCAGCCAGGAAGGAACAUUGUUUCAUGGGACCAGGCCCUGGAUGGGAAGAGAAACCAUGAUCCGAGGUCCACUCCCACUCCAGGGAUGGGGGAGACAAGUUGCUGGUCUCUCAGAUUUGGUCAAGAGCCAGGCCCUGGUCAAGUUGUCAUCAGAGUUGGGAGUCAGUUGGUGGACCCCCUUUUGUUCCUACCACCCACCCCACGCUUCCUGCUUUGGUGUUUUCGAACUGUUCCUGCUGGUUGGUUGGUCCUGCUCAGAAAGUCUCCAACUGUGAGUCCUAUUUUCAUUCCCCUAGGUCAACCUGAUCUCAGAGUAGGAUUUCAGAUGGUAGCCUCCUUUCUAUUCCUACCACUCCCCCCACCACACACACACACAACACACACACACACACACAACACACACACACACACACUUCCUGCUUUGGUCUCUUCCAACUGUUCCUGCUGGUUAGUUGGUCCUGCUCAGAUAGUCCCCAACAAUGACUCCUAUUUUCUUGCCCACAGGUAAAGUGGCCCUCAGAGUAGGGUUUCAGUUGGUAGCCCCCUUUUAUUCCUGCUGCCUUUGCCCCACACUUCCUGCUUUGGUCUCUUCCAACUGUUCCUGCUGGUUACUUGGUCCUGCUCAGAUAGGCCCCAACAAAGAGUCCUAUUUUCUUUCCCCCAGGUCAAGUUGUCCUCAGAGUAGGGUCUCAGUUGGUGCCCCCCCUUUUAUUCCUGCUGCCUUUGCCCCACACUUCCUGCUUUGGUCUCUUCCAACUGUUCCUGCUGGUUAGUUGGUCCUGCUCAGAUAGGCCCCAACAAACAGUCCUAUUUUCUUUUCCCAGAUCAAUUUCUCCUCAGAGUAGGGUUUCAGUUGGUAGCCCCCUUUUAUUCCUGCUGCCUUUGCCCCACACUUCCUGCUUUGGUCUCUUCCACCUGUUCCUGCUGGUUAGUUGGUCCUGCUCAGAUAGGCCCCAACUACGAGUCCUAUUUUUAUUCCACUAGGUCAAGUUGACCUCAGAGUAGGGUCUCAGUUGGUAGCCCCCCCUUUUAUUCCUGCCUCCCCACAUUCUGCUUUGGUCUCUUCCAACUGUUCCUGAUGGUUAGUUGGUCCUGCUCAGAUAGGCCCCAACAAAGAGUCCUCUUUUCUUUCUCCCAGGUCAAGUUGUCCUCAGAGUAGGGUUUCAGUUUGAGGCCCCCCCCUUCAUUCCCUCUCCCGCACUUCCCAAUUUGUGUCUUCCAACUAUUCCUGCUUGUUACUUGGUCCUGCUCAGAUAGGGCCCAACAAAGAGUCCUAUUUUCUUUCCCCCAGGUCAAGUGGUCAUCAGAGUAGGGAGUCGGUUGGUGCCCCCCCUUUUAUUCCUAUUGCCCACCCCACACUUCCUGCUUCAGUCUUUUCAACCUGUUCCUGCUGGUUAAUUGGUCCUGCUCAGAAAGUCUCCAACUGUGAGUCCUAUUUUCAUUCCCCUAGGUCAACCUGAUCUCAGAGUAGGAUUUCAGAUGGUAGCCUCCUUUCUAUUCCUACCACU
RNAcentral lists this long non-coding RNA (1807 nucleotides) under Felis catus (domestic cat). RNAcentral's name for it is "lncRNA (ENSFCAG00000052664.1)". The record is from RNAcentral. Lineage: Eukaryota; Metazoa; Chordata; Mammalia; Carnivora; Felidae.